GUGAAUUUGGUUGGAGAUUUGGAGAAUUUGGGGGUGAACCUGAGCAUUUUGGGAGGAGUUACGUCGAUUUUGAUCUGAAAAUAUAUGCUUUGUGAAGACUGUGCUGGUUACUGAGGAUGAGAUGAAAUGUCUGGAAUGGUGGAAGGUCUCCAGAAGACGACUUCCUACCACCGGUCCUGUUAGAAUUGCUGA
This is a long non-coding RNA of Asparagus officinalis (garden asparagus), 192 nucleotides long. RefSeq lists it as uncharacterized. The record is from RefSeq and is a predicted model, not a curated record. NCBI's taxonomy places the organism in Eukaryota, Viridiplantae, Streptophyta, Magnoliopsida, Asparagales, Asparagaceae. The transcript has 3 exons.